AAGUGAGCCUUUCCCUCUUGCCCUGCAGAACACAGUGGGCAACAGCUGUGCUAUUCAGCAUUGCCCAGUCAUCUUAUAGCUAGAGGCAGCGAACCGGCAGAGGGAUGGAAGUGAUCACAUGACAGUGGCACGCUGUGAACUACUAACCAACUCACUGAAGGCAGCCGAUAUCCAUGGCCAGAAGUGAUGGACCUAGUGGAAACUGGCAGAAGUGCAUUACAUGGGAUGACCUGCCACCAAACCUGGCGGCUUCAAGACAGGUAAAGUACACCUGAGGUGGAACUGACCUAGAUCACAGGAUUUCCAUCAUCUCAUGAUCAUGUGUACCUGAGAUGCUGUAGAGAAAGUACACUUCCCAACUGGAAGCAGAUGGGAACACAGCCAUUUCUUGAGAUCAGAGAGACCUUUUUUAUGGAUCUGCAUACAUAAGACUGCUUACUUAUUUACCUAUGUUGACAAUUUGUAUACCACUUAAUCACAGUCCCCUCUAUAGGGUGUACAGGAGACUCGGCACAAUGAAACUAAAAAUGAGUUCAAACAAGAAAAU
This is a long non-coding RNA of Podarcis raffonei (Aeolian wall lizard), 547 nucleotides long. RefSeq lists it as uncharacterized. NCBI's taxonomy places the organism in Eukaryota, Metazoa, Chordata, Lepidosauria, Squamata, Lacertidae. The transcript is spliced from 3 exons. The record is from RefSeq and is a predicted model, not a curated record.